GAUUAAUUUGAAUAGAAUUGUAUUUUUCUUGGCACAUAAUUUGUCGAAAUACACCCCUUCAAUUUCUUGAAUCUUGGCUUGAGAAUUAUUUUCCAAGUCUUCUAAAGUUGCUUGCUUAAAUUGUUUAACUUCUGAUAUACAUUUUAAAAUAAAGUAAUCUACUCUUGAAUUGUCCGUAAAAACGGCUAAUAUAAUCCCGGGUUUUAUUAAUUCAAUGAAACGGUUUUCGUCGCUGUUUUGGAUUUGUCUUUCAAUUACCUCAAUUUCAUGCACAAGUUAAUAUUGACGAAAAUUCCGGCUUCGCUAGUACAUGUAGUACAGGAAUAACUUUCAGUUAUAACAUGAAUAGCAGGACAAAUUGCAAGGUAAAACAUUCCGUGGACUUGUAUUAAGUCUUUUAAUAUAAUUGGUGAAUGCACCUUACUGAAGAGACUACUUUAAAAGAUCUAUUUCGAAGUCCUUCCGCAACAUAAAUUAAAAUUCGCAUUUUACAUUUAG
RNAcentral lists this long non-coding RNA (498 nucleotides) under Mytilus galloprovincialis (Mediterranean mussel). The record is from RNAcentral. Lineage: Eukaryota; Metazoa; Mollusca; Bivalvia; Mytilida; Mytilidae.